AUUAAGAAUCGCUCAACUCAGCGGCCCAUGGCUUCCAUCAGGUUUGCUGUGGAUUCGUUGGCACUGGAGAAGGUGGAGCCAUAACGCUUAGUGUAAGGACUCUUAUAGGCUGAAGGAAGAGGAAGACUACAAUAGACAGAAUUGCUGGUCUUCGCCCCUCCCCAACUUCCUGGUUUCAGAGUGGGGUUUCUCCCACUCUGCUGAUGACGUCUGAGCUGGAUCCGCUGGGGGAGGAGCAGCAUCAACAGUUCUGAGGGUGA
Long non-coding RNA from Mauremys mutica (yellowpond turtle), 260 nucleotides. RefSeq lists it as uncharacterized. The transcript is spliced from 3 exons. The record is from RefSeq and is a predicted model, not a curated record. NCBI's taxonomy places the organism in Eukaryota, Metazoa, Chordata, Testudines, Geoemydidae.